GUUUGAGAUAAUCCAAGCAGCAUUUCUGAAUGAAUCUCAAUUUCAGUAUUUUUACUUUAGGACUGGAACCACACUGCUGAAGGCUUUAGAUGAUGAGAAAAAGGGAGAGAGGCUGCCCUCAAGUUCUUCAACCAACGAAGAGGAAACAUUGAGGAUUGGAAAGCUUAAGGCCAAGAUUAUUAGUAAAGGGCUCCCUGUGAGAUUUUAUAGUGAUCUCCACGAGUUGGGUGAGCUGGUUUUUAAGGACUGGUCAGUUGUGAUAGAAAAACUUCAUCCAGCCACUUUAAUGAUUGAAAAUAUAGAGAACACGGUUGUGGGAAGUCCACUCUGAUUGCCAACUGGGUUAAUUACUUCAAAAAGAAACAUCCGAGCAUGUUGUUGAUUCCUCAUUUUGUGGGCAGCACCUGUGAAAGCAGCUACAUCAUGUCUGUGAUCCAUUACUUCAUCACAGAAUUACAGUACAGAAACUACGGUACUCAGCUUGAAACAGAUAUUCUCAACGAAGACUCAGAUGGCUUGGUCUUCUCAUUUCUUGUGGAAGUAUUCAUUGCUUCCAUCAGUUUAAAGCCAUGCAUACUUGUACUAGAUGGAAUUGAAGAACUGAUUGGCAUUUAUGGGAUUUCAGGUCAGAAGGUGAAAGAUUUUUCCUGGCUGCCACACUCACUCUCCCCUCAUUGCAAAUUUAUCAUGAGCACUGUCUCUUCCAGCCUGUCCUACAAGUCGUUGUGUGCCCGCCCGGAUGUGAGGACAGUGGAACUCAUUAGCACAGGAGAUGAAGAAACAAAAUUAAACAUCUUUAGAAAGCAUCUCUCCAUUCCCAUGAUGGACCCCUUCGAACAGAGCACACAGGCGUUGAGGAAAAAACCAGACCUGAGUCCUUUAAAACUCACAAUCCUAGCCAAUGAAUUGAAAGAAUAUAGAAUCAACCACAAUGAGUUUCAGUGUAUGAAGGAGUACUUGGAGGCUGUCUCUGUUCAGGAGCUCUGGGAAUUGGUUCUCAAACGCUGGAUUGAAGACUACAGUUGGACGUUUCAACCCAAAAGGGCAAAUUCAGACACUGUGGCUUCAGGAGAAGGACUGGACAGCUGGGUGGCCGACGCUCUGUGCUUACUGUGCCUGUCGCAUGGUGGCUUGGCUGAGGAUGAGCUACUCCAGCUUUUGGACAUGCUGGGCUACAGGAAUCAUUACAAAGUGACCGCCUUGCACUGGGCUGCCUUCCGCAACGCCACCAAACAGUGGGUCCAGGAGAAGCCCAAUGGCCUCCUGUAUUUCUGGCACCAGUCCCUGUGAAGUGCAGUGGAGCACAAGCUUCUUGAGCCAGUCCAUGACAGACAUGCUUCUCAAAGUACAGAAUGCUAUUGGAGAACUGUAUCUUGAAACUGGAAUGACUCAGGAAGGGUUCCAGUAUUUCCAGAAAGCAUGGUCAAGCAUGCUGCGUCUUUCACUCAGUGACUUAGAAGACAGCCGGGACUUGGUGAAGCAGAAAGUCAGAGUUUUGGACAAUCUGGCAAAGUCAGCAUCUGAAGAAUACUUAAAAGAAAACCACAUUUUGGAAUAUGCAACUGAAAUUUCCAACUUACUGGAUAACAAUCCCCGUGAUCAAGCUACCAUGAAAUACAUCGAAGGUGUUCUAAUGUUCGUUGCUGGAAAUACCUCUCUUGCAAAAAUGAAACUUCGAGAGUGCUUAAAUAUCAGGAAAAGCUUGUUUGGCAAGAAAAACAUGCUGGUUGGAGAAGUUAUGGAAUUUUUAGCGGAUUUGCUAUUUUUUCCCCAGAGAGAUAGUAAAAAGUGUUUUUUGAGGCACUUGAUACCACAUACGCCUCCUCUUACUCAUGUUAAGACCAGCACUGUGAGCAGAGAACAGGACUUUCUUUACAGAAGCAAAAAGCUUGACUGUAGAACCGUUGCCUCGUAAAAGAAAAAUCUAAACACGUAGCAUACUGACUGAGUCAUCUGUCCUGCCUGGCUGCCCCACCCCAAAUCACAAGACACCGAGUACUGCCCGGCCAGCCUUGAUGACCAUACAUGGAUGGCUUCCUCCAGGCCUCACUGUCAACAGCCAACCUUCGAAACAACGGAGUAGCCAGCCAUCUCCUUGUUGAAGGUUAUCCUUAGAUCCCAAAGGAAGCAAGUACUUAAAUAUUAUAAACAAGUGAUAAAAAUAAAGGAAAAUGCAGAAACUCUGGCCAAGUCCUCACUCCUCAGGAAGCAACUGAGCAUCAGCCUCAGCGAUACGUUGUGUAAAUUAGGUCAUUUAUUGGCAAGUGACUCUUGUCAUCACGUCAUGAUUGAGGCAGUAGGCUAUUUAUACAGAUCAGUUGAUUUAAGGGUGAUCCACCUGGGAUCUUCUCAUUCAUCAAUCCAUGGAAUCCAUGGAAUCCUGCACCUUCUGAGAGAAAUUGAGUGGAUCCGGAGCCGGAGAUAUUGGCCUCAAGGUAUGAGCCAGCAACAUUCUGAGGGUUCUAGGAAUGGCUUCUCAUUAUGGGAGCACUUGGUUAAAUUAAACUACCACAGUGCUCAGAGUUCUAAUACAGUGAGCUCUGCAAUGUGCAUGAAUGCAGAUAAAUUACACAGGGCUAGAAGAAUGGACUUGGCACCUCAGACAAUUUCAGAUAAAUCAAAAUGUGCUCCUGGAAAAGGGAAAAAGAAACCCAUUAUUUGCAUAUCUGCCGAGGAAAAGAUACAACGGAAGACACAAAACAAUGCUGAAAUAUGGAAUGGCUCAGGAAAGGAAGCCUCAAAGAAAAAGACAGACUAUUCCUCUAACAUUUUAUCUUUGGGUAAAAUGAAUGGUUUAAUAAAGCUUUCAAGGCAAAGAAUUUUGUUAGCUAAAAGUGAGAGUGGAGAAGGCGAAAUCACCACCAUUUACCACCAU
Molecule: long non-coding RNA, 2875 nt
Organism: Homo sapiens (human)
Lineage: Eukaryota; Metazoa; Chordata; Mammalia; Primates; Hominidae
Source: Ensembl